This 966-nucleotide ribosomal RNA is filed under the name Triticum aestivum (bread wheat). RNAcentral describes it as "partial small subunit ribosomal RNA". The record is from RNAcentral. Lineage: Eukaryota; Viridiplantae; Streptophyta; Magnoliopsida; Poales; Poaceae.
AUGGCGAACCUCGAAUCGUUAGCCUCACUUGCCGCCAUCCUCAUCCUCGUCCUCGUCGAGGUCGCUGUCCUGUCCUCGUUCGCGGCCGCGCAGCUGCGGCCGGACUACUACGCCAACGUCUGCCCCAACCUGGAGGGCAUUGUCCGGUACUCCGUGAAGCAGUCCAUGGUCAAGUCCCCCAUCUCCGCGCCCGCCACCCUCAGGCUCUUCUUCCACGACUGCGCCGUCAUGGGCUGUGACGCAUCGGUCAUGAUCAUCAGCCCGACUGGCGACGACGAGUGGCGGAACCAGGACGACUAUUCGCUGAAGCCGGAGGGCUUCCAGACGAUCCUGGAUGCCAAGGCUGCCGUGGACAGCGACCUGCAGUGCCGCUAUAAGGUGUCCUGCGCCGACAUAAUCGCCCUCGCCGCAAGAGAGUCCGUCUCCCAGAGCGGAGGGCCCAACUACACAGUAGAGCUGGGCAGGUACGAUGGGAAGAUCUCGACGACGAACAGCGUCAUGCUGCCGCACGUCGACGACAACCUCGACAGCCUCAAUUCCUUCUUCUAUACCCUAGGCCUCUCCCAGAUCGACAUGAUCGCAUUAUCAGGUGCCCACACCUUGGGAGCGGCCGACUGCGGCUUCUUCCAGCACAGGACCAGGGGCAAGGAUCCGAGCAUGAACCCGAGCUUUGACGCGCAGCUUCAGGGCACCUGUGCCAGACAGAACUUUGCGUUCCUGGAUGACGUGACACCGGUGGGAUUCGACAACUCCUACUUCAAGCUCCUGCAGAAUGGCAGGGGCCUCCUGGGCUCCGACCAGGUGUUGUACACAGACCAGAGAUCACGCGGUACCAUAGACUACUAUGCGUCCAACCAGGGCAUCUUCUUCUACGACUUUAGCAUCGCCAUGACAAAGCUCGGCAAGGUCGGGGUCAAGACGGCCACUGACGGCGAGAUACGCCGUGACUGUCGGUAUCCAAAUUAG